GGAGUUAGCCGGUGCUUCUUCUGCGAGUAACGUCACAGAUGUAAGGUAUUAACUUACACCCUUUCCUCCUCGCUGAAAGUGCUUUACAACCCGAAGGCCUUCUUCACACACGCGGCAUGGCUGCAUCAGGGUUUCCCCCAUUGUGCAAUAUUCCCCACUGCUGCCUCCCGUAGGAGUCUGGGCCGUGUCUCAGUCCCAGUGUGGCUGAUCAUCCUCUCAGACCAGCUAGGGAUCGUCGCCUAGGUGAGCCUUUACCUCACCUACUAGCUAAUCCCACCUGGGCUUAUCCAUCAGCGCAAGGCCCGAAGGUCCCCUGCUUUCCCCCGUAGGGCGUAUGCGGUAUUAGCAGUCGUUUCCAACUGUUAUCCCCCACAAAUGGGCAAAUUCCCAGGCAUUACUCACCCGUCCGCCGCUCGUCAUCUUCAAAGCAAGCUUUUGAAAUGUUACCGCUCGACUUGCAUGUGUUAGGCCUGCCGCCAGCGUUCAAUCUGAACCAGAUCAAAUUCNGA
RNAcentral lists this ribosomal RNA (509 nucleotides) under uncultured bacterium. RNAcentral's name for it is "partial 16S ribosomal RNA". The record is from RNAcentral.